This is a long non-coding RNA of Heterocephalus glaber (naked mole-rat), 1043 nucleotides long. Lineage: Eukaryota; Metazoa; Chordata; Mammalia; Rodentia; Bathyergidae. The record is from Ensembl.
CAGGCAGCCACAGAGCAGAGCAGGAGGAGCAGCGAGAGGAGGCCGGGAGCGGAGUGUAUCGCUUUCCCUGUUCCUGAAAGGUCCUCUCUGGCCAAGUAGAGGGAGAGGAGCGCUUCUGAGGAAGCCAUCAUUGAAGAGAGUGAAAAGGUCACGAUUACGUGGACACCUCCGGGUUCACUGGCCCCACUUCUGCGCCCCUUCUCCAGGCGCCGACACCUCGCCGUCCUGGAGCCCUCGUUCUCGGAACCGGAACCGGAACUGGAUCACAGUGGGCAGCACAGCCACAGCGCCCAGAGCACCAGUCCUUGAGAGUUCAGACGCCCAAUUAGUGUCCUUAUAAAAUGGUGUCAGGGAACCUUCUCUAAAAUCCCGUAUAUCACCCUUAGGACACUGAAGUAUCCGUACGCCGAAUCAUCCAUCUUCCUGCAGAUCUCCUCUCCUCCCACUUACUUGGGCCUAAAGCGGCUGCUUGCAGUGAGAGAAGAGAAGCAGGAUCUUCCUUCCCUCGUUCUUGCUCUGCUCCUUCUCUUCUACAAGUUUGGCCGUUCCGUGGGCUCCUCGUAAAUUGCCUUCACUGGAAAAUUCCGAUUCUGCCCCACUGACAGGUAGACAACGCCCUUCCUGAGCCCCCGGCUUUCACAGUGACCCCUCAGUUUGGACUCUCAGUGUUAGAAGCUGUGGCACCGGGCAGAAGCUACUUUUCUCCUAUGCAUCUGCAGUGUUUUCCUCCCAAGUCCAAGGAAGCUGGUCAUAAUCUGAAGAUGAUCUUGCCAUCAACUGUUCCUGCAGAUAGCACCAGGGAGCCCUUUGUCUGUAACAUAAGCCGCUGUUUGUCCCAGGAAUUAGGCUUCAAAAGUUAUCAGGGUUUUUACUCUACCUGGAGCUGACCUUACCUUCCUCCUGGCUCUGCUCAAGCCUUGCUUCCUCCAGAAAUCUCUUCCAAAGGAAUAUGACCCUCAUCGAUCAUGCCUCUGGGUCCGUGGGUGCUUUACUCAUGGCCUGAGCCAUUCAUUAUGGACCCUCAAUAUGGAGCUUAAUUAAAC